CCACAGUGUCACUUCCGGUUUUCUGGUGGUUAAUUGGAGAUAAGAGUCUCAAGGUCUUUCUUGCCCUGGAUGGUUUUGAUCUACAAUCCUUAGAU
This is a long non-coding RNA of Dipodomys spectabilis (banner-tailed kangaroo rat), 95 nucleotides long. RefSeq lists it as uncharacterized. The record is from RefSeq and is a predicted model, not a curated record. NCBI's taxonomy places the organism in Eukaryota, Metazoa, Chordata, Mammalia, Rodentia, Heteromyidae. The transcript has 3 exons.